AGAGUUUAGAUCAUGGCUCAGGACGAACGCUGNGCGNGCGUGCCNUCAAUACAUGCAAGUCGAGUCGGACUCGAUGAGGANGCUUGCUUCUCUGAGAGUAUACGCGGCGAGACGGGUGAGUAACACGUAGGCANACCUGCCCUNCAGACGACUGGGCAUAACUACCGUGAAACGGUAGCUAAUACCUGGAUAAUUAAAUCUGCUGCACUGGCGGAGUUAUGAAAGGCGGAGCAUAUCAUGUCACUUGAGGAUGUGGCCUGCGGCGCAUUAGCUAGUUGGUGAGGUAACGGCUCACCCAGGCGACGAUGCGUAGCCGACUCUGAGAGGGUGAACGGCCACACUGGGACUGAGACACNGGCCCAGACUCCUACGGGAGGCAGCAGUAGGUGUAAUCUUCCGCAAUGGGCGAGAAGCCAUGACGGAGCAACGCCGCGUGAGUGAUGAAGGUUUUCGGAUCGUAAAGCUCUGUUGUCCAGGGAAGACACGUCUCAUAG
RNAcentral lists this ribosomal RNA (494 nucleotides) under Paenibacillaceae bacterium N-0-25-4. RNAcentral describes it as "bacterial SSU rRNA". It matches the Rfam family "Bacterial small subunit ribosomal RNA", at positions 8 to 460 of the family's 1533-position model. Lineage: Bacteria; Bacillati; Bacillota; Bacilli; Caryophanales; Paenibacillaceae. The record is from RNAcentral.